GGAGAGCAUAAAGUGGUCUAUGAUGAUAAUAAACCAACUGAGUUUUUCCAAUGGAUUGAUCUGAAAAAGGUAAUUCCAUGUUUUGUUGAAUAUAGUAAACCAGCAACUUAUUAAGGUUUAGCUGUUACAUUUUGAUUAAAGCUGCAGUGAAAAAUAUGUCAUCAAAGGAAACAACUAAACUAAAUCAUGUCUUCCUUCUUUCUUUACCUCUCAUCAUAAUUGCCUAACUAGACCAAAUCUUUUGAUCUAAUGCAAUGCAACCCAUAUCUUCUGUCAAAUACCAUUUUCUCCCCAUUUACCCGACAUUUUCCUUUGUUAUGUUGUGUCUUUAGUCUUUACCACCUCACAUUCUACAAGGUAAAAACGCCAUAUUUUUUAACGCCGUGUGUAUACUUGCUUGUGAGUUAUGAUCUCAUUUCCCUGAUCAAGGGACACAUUCUUGAUGAUCAAGUAAAUUUGUUGUAUAUUUGUCAAAAAGAUUAUAUCCUUUUGGCUUAAAUGUGUGUUUAGUCCCUGCACUUUCGCCCAGUUUUGGCAUUGAUCCCUACGCUUUUUUUUGUUUGGCAUUGGUCCCUGCACUUUCUAAAACUUUUGGCUUUAGUCCUUCCGUUAACUUUCCGUUAAAAAAAAAAAACCAAAACUAACGGUGUGCCACGUGGCCCAAUCAUGACACGCCACGUGGCACACUAAAAAACAAAAAAAAAAAUUAAUUAUUAUUUUAUUCAUUAUUUUUUUACUUAAAAAUAUCAUUAGUCCCUGCACUUUCAGCAUUUUUUUAUAUUAGUCCCUGCACUUUGGUAUUAGUCCUUGAACUUUUUUUUUUUUUUAAAUACUUUCAAUGAAAUUAUUAUGUUUUAAUUAUUGUUUUGUUCAUUAUUUUUAUUGAGAAUAAUCAUAAAAAAAUAAAAUCAAAAAAUCUUUGUUAAAAAAAAUUAAGUAAUAAUUGUAUAACAUGNNNNNNNNNNNNNNNNNNNNNNNNNNNNNNNNNNNNNNNNNNNNNNNNNNNNNNNNNNNNNNNNUAAUUUUUUUUAACAAAGAUUUUUUGAUUUUAUUUUUUUAUGAUUAUUCUCAAUAAAAAUAAUGAACAAAACAAUAAUUAAAACAUAAUAAUUUGAUUGAAAGUAUUUUUUUUAUUUUUUUAAAAAAAGUUCAAGGAUUAAUACCAAAGUGCAGGGACUAAUAUCAAAAAAUGCUGAAAGUGCAGGGACUAAUGAUAUUUUUAAGUAAAAAAAUAAUGAAUUAAAUAAUAAUUAAAAAUUGAUUUUUUUUUUUUUGUUUUUUAGUAUGCCACGUGGCGUGUCAUGAUUGGGCCACGUGGCACACCGUUAGUUUUGGUUUUUUUUUUUUUAACGGAAAGUUAACGGAAGGACUAAAGCCAAAAGUUUUAGAAAGUGCAGGGACUAAUGCCAAACAAAAAAAAGCGUAGGGAUCAAUGCCAAAACUGGGCGAAAGUGCAUGGACUAAACACACAUUUAAACCUAUCCUUUUUCAUAUUUGUAUUUUAAUUGAUGACAACAGUUCUUUACUGAGGAUAUACAAUGGCAAGGGAUUGAUCAUACAUGUAUACCCUGUUGGUGUUGGGAUCAGAGUGCGCAAAGUGGAAUGUGCGGAAGCAUGAAUUAUCUCUUUUUGUAGAACCUGAACAAUCCAAUAUACCAGCACAACCAACAACAACAAUAACAACAAUAAAAAGGAGUAAAAACUGUAAAUAAAAACCACGGACCUAGACCAGCCAAAAACUUCCACUAUAACACCUAUGGUUACGAUUAAUGUCUUCUUAAAUCUCUAGGAACCGACAAUCAUCAAAUAAUCACCAACUAUGAUGAUUCUAACAACCAACAAACCCUAAAUAGAUAUCCCAAACAGACACAAAGAGAAGACAAAACUACUUAGAAAAAUUAUCUAAGUAUCAAACUAGAUAACAAAAAUAACAUACUCAAAUUUCAGCCGAAACGGAGAUCGUUUGCCGAACACACUUUUGUCAUCGGAACCCAAAUAAUCUUCCUCUUCAGAAGUGCUGCGCCUCUCAAUUAUAUAUUUCACGCACACACCACUAUUGCAAAACUAGGGAAGAAUUCCCUUUUGCAACCACACACACACAUCACGUGUGGGCCUAGCCCAUCACACAUAGCACACACACUUAUAUAUUUUUUUUCUUUUCUUAAAUAAAUGUGUGGUCCCACUUGAGGAGGACCCACCCAAAAGUUGGGUUGGGGGAGUAACAACCAUAAGCAAAAUAAACGCCACACUCUUAUUCAAAAUUUUAAGAAAAUAAAUUUUUGAUAUUUUUAUUUAUAAGUGUUUAAUCUUUACUUUUUUAUCCGAUGUGAGA
Molecule: long non-coding RNA, 2332 nt
Filed under: Medicago truncatula (barrel medic)
Lineage: Eukaryota; Viridiplantae; Streptophyta; Magnoliopsida; Fabales; Fabaceae
Description: long non-coding RNA (MTRU_LNC005520)
Source: RNAcentral